This is a long non-coding RNA of Tachysurus fulvidraco (yellow catfish), 2376 nucleotides long. RefSeq lists it as uncharacterized. NCBI's taxonomy places the organism in Eukaryota, Metazoa, Chordata, Actinopteri, Siluriformes, Bagridae. The transcript has 3 exons. The record is from RefSeq and is a predicted model, not a curated record.
UCCUGUUCAGUGUCCUGAACUGUUUUGCCUGCCUAUCUGUUUGUUUCUUGUUUUUGUCCAGUAAAGUUCUAUCUGCAAUUGGAUCCUCUCUUGCCUUUCGUUUCACCGUGUCACAUCGUGACAAUAGUAUUCUUUUUUCCCACUACGGAAGUGAAUGGGGCUCAUGAAGGGUUUGGUUACAAACAUUCCCUAAAAUAUCUACGUGUGUGUUCAUCAAAACAAAGAAAUUUAUACAGAUUGCAGAAAACGUGCUGGUGGCAUUGCGACACAACUACAUGGAUGACCAAUACUGGAAACAAGUUUGGCCAAGUCUUGAAUUUUGUCCUGACCACUGGUGAGGGAGCUGGCCUAGAUGAACUGUGUCAAGGCAUAACCCCAGUUCUCAUCUGGUUUCGACCAUGGAAAUUCAAAGUAAGACUUGAUAUUUUUCACUUCAUGAGGCGUUUCACUUUAGGUCUUUAGACAAGGAUGACAUCCAUCAGCUUAAAGAGGCAAAGAAGGCAGAGCUUUUAAAAAUAUGUGGGUGCCAUAUUCCAUCUGAAGCCCAAAUUCUGUCAAGCAUCACCUCCAGUGAGCUGGCCAAAAACUGCAAUAGGAGGACCCGUGGGGAUCCCCGGGGGGGGGGGAUGCCUGGCAGGAGGUCGAUAGCACAGUUAUAAGGUCUAUGAGGUGGCAGGGAAGUGGCAUGAGCUCUACUGAACACUUGGCCCAGAUCAUGGUAUUCAGCAGGUACCAGAGAGAGGUUGAUGGUCCUCCUUGACUAAUGAUGGGCAGGGUGUCAAGGUGGUCAGGCAGUGAGCCUGGCAGUAGAUCCCCCAACUAAGGACCCGGACGCUGGUCCAAUCCAGAUUCUGCAGCCAAGGCAAUCCAAACAUGACGGGGGCAUGGGGUGAGGGAAUAACAAGGAAGGAGAUCCACUCUGUGUGUUCAUUGGCUAUGGACACCAGCAGGGGCUUGGUAUGGUAGCGAGAUCGAUGGAGGAUAUGGCCAUCCAGGGCCUGUACCUGGAGACUGGUGGGUAGCAGUUCAGUCUCAGUCUCCAGUUGAUGCACAAACUCCUCAUCGAGGAACUCCACGUCAGCUCCAGAGUCAACGAAAACUGCUAGAUCGUGUUCUUGGCUCUUGAUCUGAAAUCGUGCUUUUAGAAUUGGCUUGGGGGAGGCUAAGCACCAGAGGCUCGCUGCAGGCUCCUCCUUCAACGGGGAGCCCUGUCUUUUUUUGGACACAUGAAGGCAAAAUGUCCUGCCUUACCACAAUAAAGACAGAGGCCUGGCGCCGCUCCUUCUCUGCUGAGGAUAGGAGAUGCCAUCCUAUCUCCAUGGGCUGGGGAGGUGGCGGCGAGUAUAAUUUGCUAGGAUCAGCAUGGGGCUUGACAUACGGGUCUCUGGGAGGCAAGUAUGAUCUGCCAGGUUCUGAAUGAGACUUGGCAUACGAGGUUCUGGGAGGCCAGGAACGGGUUGGGUGUCCCUCCUCUCUUUGUUCCUGGAUUCAGCGAUCGAUCCUGGUUGCCAGACAAACCAGGUUGUCAAGCUCGUCUGGAAGUUCUAGGGCCACAAGUUCAUCCUUCACCUGGGGGGCUAGGCCGUGGUAGAACGCAUCGUAGAGGGCCCUGGGGUUCAAACAAAGCACAGAUGAAUGACUGACGUUCCCACUCUGCAGUAGCCCAGAUCUUGGCCUUACCAGAUAGCAGAGAUAACGUAUGCUACCUCAGACCAAUCCGAAGGGAAGGAGCAGGGUUGGAGCUCGAAGAUCACCGAGCACUGCAUCAGAAAUGCACAGCAAUGCCCUGCCUCUCCAGAGAAAUGCUCAGGGUGGGGCAGAUGUGGUUCUCGAAUGGGGUUUUGGUUAUGCUCAACCAUGGCUAGGGGGGCUGGGCAGGUGGCAUCGGAAAUGGCGAGGAGGCCUGUGCCGUGGUGAGCAUGCUCAUGCGUCGAAUGAGUUCAUUUGUGGAUUAGGCUAUCUCCUUGAGUUGGCGCACGUGCGCAGCGGAGGAUUUGGACAGGGAGUUGAGCUGUGACUGCAACUCCUGAGAUCCUGCUUGGGUUCAUUGUUGGUCAGAUGAUACUAUCAGAUGAUACUAAAAGCAAACAGAGGGAGGUGCUAUGGAGGAGAACCCAAGCACAGGCCAAUGUACAAAAUAAAAGAUCUUAAAUGAGUAAAUAUAUACAGUAUAUAUAGAGGACAUAACAGGGCAAAGUCUAGACUGAAACCUCAUACAGAAAACUGUAGCAGAGAAGACAAAACGUUGACAGGUGUUGGUCUUAAGUAAUCCAGACCGGCAAGUAAGUAAUCCAGACCGGCAAAAUCCACUAGGACAUAAACAGCAGCAAGGCAACAGCCAAUACUCAGACUGGAAGACAGAAGGAAUGACUCACA